This 454-nucleotide ribosomal RNA is filed under the name uncultured Parabacteroides sp. RNAcentral describes it as "partial 16S ribosomal RNA". It matches the Rfam family "Bacterial small subunit ribosomal RNA", at positions 341 to 792 of the family's 1533-position model. Lineage: Bacteria; Pseudomonadati; Bacteroidota; Bacteroidia; Bacteroidales; Tannerellaceae. The record is from RNAcentral.
ACGGGAGGCAGCAGUGAGGAAUAUUGGUCAAUGGUCGGAAGACUGAACCAGCCAAGUCGCGUGCAGGAAGACGGUUCUAUGGAUUGUAAACUGCUUUUGUACGGGAAUAAAGUUCAGGACGUGUCCUGUUUGGAAUGUACCGUAAGAAUAAGGGUCGGCUAACUCCGUGCCAGCAGCCGCGGUAAUACGGAGGACCCGAGCGUUAUCCGGAUUUAUUGGGUUUAAAGGGUGCGCAGGCGGAGGAUUAAGUCAGCGGUGAAAUUCUCAUGCUCAACAUGAGAACUGCCAUUGAUACUGGUCCCCUUGAGAGAUGUCGAGGAUGGCGGAAUGUGAUGUGUAGCGGUGAAAUGCUUAGAUAUGCUGCAGAACUCCGAUUGCGAAGGCAGCUGUCCAGAGAUGUACUGACGCUGAGGCACGAAAGCAUGGGUAUCAAACAGGAUUAGAUACCCUGGUA